This 110-nucleotide ribosomal RNA is filed under the name Caerostris darwini. The record is from RNAcentral. Lineage: Eukaryota; Metazoa; Arthropoda; Arachnida; Araneae; Araneidae.
ACGGCCAUACCAUGCUGAAUAUACCGGUUCUCAUUAGAUCACCGAAGUCAAGCAUCAUUGGUCGCGGUCAGUACUUGGGUGGGUGACCACCUGGGAACACCGCUUGCCGU